UACGGGGGGGGCAAGCGUUGUUCGGAAUUCCUGGGCGUAAAGGGCUCGUAGGUGGUCAACUAAGUCGGACGUGAAAUCCCUCGGCUUAACCGGGGAACUGCGUCCGAUACUGGAUGACUUGAGUUCGGGAGAGGGAUGCGGAAUUCCAGGUGUAGCGGUGAAAUGCGCAGAUAUCAGGAGGAACACCGAUGGCGAAGGCAGGUCUCUGGGCAUUAACUGACGUUGAGGAGCGAAAGCAUGGGGAGCGAACAGG
This 253-nucleotide ribosomal RNA is filed under the name uncultured bacterium. RNAcentral's name for it is "partial 16S ribosomal RNA". It matches the Rfam family "Bacterial small subunit ribosomal RNA", at positions 524 to 776 of the family's 1533-position model. The record is from RNAcentral.